AUGAACGCUGGCGGCGUGCCUAAUACAUGCAAGUCGAGCGAACGGACGAGAAGCUUGCUUCUCUGAUGUUAGCGGCGGACGGGUGAGUAACACGUGGAUAACCUACCUAUAAGACUGGGAUAACUUCGGGAAACCGGAGCUAAUACCGGAUGAUAUUUUGAACCGCAUGGUUCAAAAGUGAAAGACGGUCUUGCUGUCACUUAUAGAUGGAUCCGCGCUGCAUUAGCUAGUUGGUAAGGUAACGGCUUACCAAGGCAACGAUGCAUAGCCGACCUGAGAGGGUGGUCGGCCACACUGUAGCUUAGACACGGUCCAGACUCCUCCGGGAGGCAGCAGUAGGGAAGCUUCCGCAAUGGGCGAAAGCCUGACGGAGCAACGCCGCGUGAGUGAUGAAGGUCUUCGGAUCGUAAAACUCUGUUAUUAGGGAAGAACAUAUGUGUAAGUAACUGUGCACAUCUUGACGGUACCUAAUCAGAAAGCCACGGCUAACUACGUG
Molecule: ribosomal RNA, 496 nt
Filed under: uncultured bacterium
Lineage: Bacteria
Description: partial 16S ribosomal RNA
Rfam family: Bacterial small subunit ribosomal RNA
Source: RNAcentral